Molecule: non-coding RNA, 5887 nt
Organism: Manis javanica (Malayan pangolin)
Lineage: Eukaryota; Metazoa; Chordata; Mammalia; Pholidota; Manidae
Source: RefSeq, a predicted model, not a curated record
GGAGAAGCUUUGCGGACGGAUCCCUGGCAACUGACAGGUGCCAGACCAGUUACGCAACAGGAGGAGAGAACAGCCUCUCUCCACGCCUUAGCCCCAGAGUCCGCGAGAUGCUGAGGGGUGCAUGUAAAGAGACCAAGGCCAGGACCCAGCACCCCCUCCCAGACUUCCACUGUCUUGGCUCUAAUGCUUCCUGGACCCUGAGAGGAAUGCCCAGCUUUGUAAUGCCUCUGCACACCUGCCCUCCACAGCUGCCUGGAGUUCAAAGUGGCAUGAAAGCAGACAAAAUGCAGUGAAAUAGACCCUGGAGGGUGGUGAGACCUCCGUAGGUUAGUUUUCUCAUUUUCUGUUUUUUGUUGUUUGUGUAAUGACAGUGCUAUGAAAACAGGUGCAAGGAAGAGACCUGGGUAAGGGGCGGUCCUUCAGUGCCACACAUCCCUCCAUCCCCGCCCUCCUGGAAGCCAAAGGGUAUUGUGAGUGCGGCACAGAUAGAAGCCAAUACACUACCUUUUUAUGAGGGAAAAAAACAUGUUUAUUGGGGAGCAUUAAAUAUGUUGGAUGUGCUAAUGAGAAAAAGUUUUCUCUACAUGGACUGAAUUUUUCUGGGAGACAUUCACGAGGAAAGGUUGUAGCACUUUGUGGUUGCCUAGACUAGACACCUCUGCGAAGAAGACACUGCCGUGGGCAGUGUGGCUAUUGGCCUGGGAAGAGUGGCACGGCUGGUCCACCCUGGCAGCGACUGACUGGAGGACACACAGUCUUCUUGUGGGACCAGGAGGCGGAGCUCCUCAGGUCCAGCUGCUCGUUGGAUCUGACACUUUCCAAGGACUCUUGGUGUCUGACUUGCCUUUCCUGGACAGGACAAGUCUGGCCCUCCUGGGUGACUGGCUGGCCACAGGGUGCAUGACUCAUUUUCCCUGGCUCUGGGUAGCCAGGUUGCCCGUGGGAGUGGUAAUACCCACAUACUGGGGCUUGGAAUUCCUGUUCCUGUUUAUUUAACUUUGCGGUGUGAUGUCCUCAGAGAACUGUCAGUUUCUCCUUUACAAUCUGUCCAAUCGCUCUCAUUAGCACCUGAGCCUCAGCAUCUGCGUUCUCCAACAUGGGACCAGUGCACGAGACCCCUGUUUGUGUUCUCCAUAGGCCCUCUCAGGACGGCACUGGGGCACCUAAUAAGCCAAGUUGUCUUGGAUGGGAGGCAUGUGUGUGGGAGAAUCUUGAGGAUGGUUCUCUGACUACCUUCACUUUGGUCUUAACCUCACUAACAGCCUCUGUUUGGGGAUAUGGUUCUCCUGGGUACAGGAAAACAGUCUUUCUAUGUAGUGGGGAACUUUCACUGGUCCCUGGAACUUCUGAAAUCCCUGUAUGCACAUUUAAGUUCUGACAUUUUGUUUCCAAGUUGCCUCUAAGACUGUGGGUGGCUGAAGAGCUGGGAACUCCUUGGCCUCCCUAGACUCUUCGGCCCUCAGACUGCGGCCGGGUUCACCUCCAGCGUUGUUACCUUACCGCAGGAGUCUUGUGAGGCCUGACCCCCACUGUCCUUUCUCAGCUCAUCCCUGGCCAUUACUGAACAGGAACUCAGCUCCGGGCCACCCCUCCGGGCCUGCUGUAUAGUCCCAUUCUGCCAGGUUCUGCCCAUGACGUUCAGUGUGGGGCGCUGAAAAGGUGGCAGGCCCUCCUGUCCAAUCGGACAGGAUUUGGGGCAUCUGGCCAUCACCCGAUGGGAUCCCUUUCCAGACCUUUUCUGCACAAACAUGAGGGGAUAAGGGGAGGCCUCGCCGUGGUGGAAGCUAACUCCUUUAUUUCCACCAUCUCUCCUGGAAAGGCCUGAAGAGGUACUCCCGCAAAGUCAGUAAACAACUAUCCCGAGAAUGCCAGACACACAGGUGCCUGGGGUAGGGGGUAAGGUUGACUGCAGAAUGGGCAAGGGUUGAGCCUUUUUCACUUUAAAGACAGUUGUGGCCUUAAGGACCUUAAGGAGUACACACCACCUGUGCUUCACCUGGAGCCUUGUGGUAUGUGCUUCUAGCAUGUCUCGAGGGUUUAGCUCAAGGAAGGGAGUCCCGUGGCAGGUGUUUACACAGGGUUUCAAGCCCUUUAAGAGACCUCGAUUUCUGGUUUCUGAGUAAGUGUCCAACAUGGGAAAAGCUCACCUGACAGCAAGCUGGAUGUGUACAUACUCACUGAGGUCAGACCUUCACCGGUCUUCCCCAACGUCCUUCUUGCAUGGCUUUUCAGGGUGUUUUCAACACUCUUGUCUAAUUCCCCUGGUAAAUCACUUCCUGAGUCACUCCUUGGUUGCCUCAAGUCACUUUCUGACUCCUCUGAGCUCACCCCUUGCAACCUCAUUAGGGGGCUUUCUGAGCCCCUGGAGAGAUCUUCUGGGACCCACCCCAUGAAGCCUGUCGGACCUGUGCCCAGGUCUUGCCUGAGCCGCAGUCCCACCUUCUGGUUAUUCUUGCUGCUUUCACCUGUGUGUGUGAUGGGCCUUCUAUUUCCAAGGGCCAUGCUUGCGCUGUGCCUGGUAACUCACCCUGGAGCCGCUUUAGUUCCACAGUCUCCUGGAUCUUGCCAGGCAGCUCCCACUGGUGGCGAAUGAACCGCUCUUGGAGGUGUUGCUCCAGUUUCUUCCGGAUCUCAGGGCUGUUGGGCCAUUUUUCAGGAAGCAUAGCAGCGACCCUGCUGUCCUCAGGAUGGGUGGAAGUAGGGACACUAAAGACUUCCUGAGGCUUUUUGACUCCAGAGGAUAGAGCCCGCUGACUUUCUAUUUGGUUCUGCAAUGUGGGCCAUUGUGGAUGAUGAACCUCAGUUGGGAUGAGAGAUUGUGGCUUAUCUGGAAAGUAGGGCAAGGUACUCCACAGGUCCUAAUGUAGUGUGCACAAGGUGGUAGGUUUGGGAGAGGGGAUUGGAGGUAGGCUGGCCUACGGACAUGAACCAGGACUGGUAACCCAAAUUGAGGCAUGCUUGGAAUCAAUGGUUGAUAUUGGAACUCCAGUUGGGACAGAGGCUGGGACUGGAAAGACGGUGGAGAAGUUUUGGCCUGCAUUUGAACUGGGUAAUAAUUUGAGAUUACAUCGAAUAAAAAUGUGUAGACUGUAGUGCUGAAGGGCUCUCAGAGAUGCAGGCAGUGGCCCCAAGGGAUUCACUAUGUAGGGCAGGGAGACCCCAGAAAAGCUGGUCAUAUGUCUGCUGUAGGUGGUCCUCUAAGACUUUGGGAUCUGAGGGCUGCUGAGGACCAGGCAGCUGUUCUGGUUUGCCGUUUGUGCUGAAGGAGAGUUGGGGGUUUGUGGUGUCCUGCUCAGCACCCAGUGGUUUCAAUGAGCUCCCCUAAGAAUUCAGGUUGUAGGCUGAACCCAUUUGUUUUGGAUGUGAUCUGUCCUUUUCUUUCUCCUUAAUCUUGACUCUCUUUGUAAUUUCUGUUUCCAAGGGAUUCUGGUCAUCACAGCUUAGCAAAGGGGGGGUACCAGCCACUACCUGUAUGCCUGGGUCUCCCCAGAAUGAGGCCACUGUUUGGGACCAUACUUUGAGGAGGUGGAGAGGCUCCAGGCUUUGGCAGCUGUAUCCCACCAGGACAGGUCCACAAUGGGGAGACCAAGGCCUGAGAUGACUGGAGCAGGAGAAGCUGCCCAAGCCUUGUGUGGAGAUGGGCUCCGUGGGACAGCACCCAGUGGGAGUGCCACUGGGUCACACUGAGGAAGAGUCACAUUGUAGUCUGGUGUGGGGGGAAGGCACAGGAGUCUGUCAGAGAUGGAGGGCGGGACUCUAAAUCACGGACAUGGGGGUGAAGGGGAAGAAGCAGGUGGCUGGGGUGAAAGGCUGUCCAGGGGAAGGAAGAGCUCUGGGGGUUGAGAGGCACUCAGGGAGGGGUGUGCAUGAACAACAUGCGGAGGCCGGUGGGCCUGGUGAAGCAGUGGAGGCCAGGGGCAGAGGUUGCUUCAGCAGUGGAGUCUGGCAAGCUGAAGGGGACGUGGCAGGAGAAGCACUGCCUACAAGCUCCCUGCAUGGCUGAUGGGCUCCAGUAGUCUGUGCUUUGCAUACGUCACCAGGGGGGUCUUGACAUAUAUGAUGAGAGCAGCCCUUGUCGGGGAUCCUGCUCAGUUGGCUGAAGACAGGUGGGACAAGCUGCAGCCAGGAGCACACGGGGCCAGGAGGGCCAAGGCGGCCUGGUUGGUGUGGGUAUCUGGGGCCCCUGGCUCUCCACAGCCCCCAGACUGACUUCCUGGUGCUCCUGCUGUCCCACACCCCAGGACUGUACCCACACCUGUCCCUGUGGCUGCCCCUCCGAAGUCAGCCCCAGGCUGCUGCAGCCCUGGAGUCCCACUACAGGCUCUGGGAGGAAGGACCCAAGAGAGAAGGGUGAGCUUCAUUACAUCUCUAGAUGUGACAUCAGGCUGCUUGUCAUUUCCAGUUCUUGCAGGCAACGUCCGUAACCUGGAAAGUGGAAGACAUGGUCAUGGUGGGGAAGGCAGGGACCUAGUGGUCUUUUUGGAGCCUGAGGGCCAUGUCGCUUUAGGCGAGACUUUCCGAGCUUAGAGUCUGGAGCCCAAGCCUCGGAGUCCAAGGCCGCAGGAUCCCUGACGGCAACAGCAAGACUCAUGAAGGGGAACGCUUUAGCAUUUGCAAGGUACUUCUACAUCCCUUAACCUCUGUGACCCUCACAGCCACCCCCAGAACCACCCUUUGUGGGGGACAGGGCAGGGCCACCUUAGAGAGGCUCCUGAGGGAAGUUUAACACAUUGGUGAUGUUAAUAACCCAGAGAGUGAAGCUGCAUCUCAGCCGAGUAGUUGAAACAUAUUCUAGAAGUGUAAGUGUAUUGUUGUGCCCCGUUUCCUUGAGUCCCCCGUGUAGAGCCGCAGUCACCAGCCUCAGUCGCGAGAUGUAAGAGCAAAACAGGUCUUUAUUGCUAGUUCGAACUAGGGUCUCCGUUGACGCGGUCCAGCCACGCCUAGUCGAGAAGGUCCUGAAGUGCAGAAGGGGGGCGAAGAAAAGAAAGAAAGAGCUGACGCUCCCACACGUCGCCAGCCAGCACCCCAGCUGCAUCCCUCUGUCGCUCCUAGUUGGACUUGAACUCACAACUCUGAGAGUAAGAGUCUCAUGCUUUACCGACUGAGCUAGCUGGGCAGAUGGGGAGGGCUGAUGCUCCUUCGUGUCGCCAGCCCCUAGCCCUCUUGCUUGCCUCAGCUGCUCCAGUUCGGCUUGAACUCAUGACUCUGAGAUUAAGAGUCCCGUGCUCUACCAACUGAGCUACAGCAGGGUUCCAGUUAGUUGCUCAUGGAAUGCGUAAACAGAAUGUUCUUUGUUCUCCAUUCCCGCCACAUCGGCAAGUGGGGGAAGGGCAUACCCCGCUCCCCACACUCAGUGGCCUGUCAAAACACAGGACUCGGUCUGAGACCCUGAACAAAGUUCCCUUUUUGCUUUUAUACUGUAGCAAAAAACAGGUAGGGGCUUUCCAAGGGGGGUGGUUUAUUGUGACCUUAGCUGAUUGGCUGAGGAGGGUUGCUGGGCAAGGUUUCCGUGGGAAUGGGCUUGACUUGAGCGGGGAAACUUCUUACCCAAGAUGGAGGGACAUAGUUAUUCAAAAUGGAAGACACGAAGUGGAGGCAGGGAUCAUGUAGGGGCACACCUAUUCAAGAUGGUGGACACAAAAUGGAGUCAGGGGUCCCGCAUUCCCCCCUUUUCUUUUGUGUCUGGGUUUUCUUGUCCCACUAUGGGAAUGUGCUCUCCAGCCAUUGGGCCUGUAUAUUCCUGGAGCUCAGCCAUCCAUGAAUUCAGCUGCUGCUCAUCUCCCACCUCAAAGAUGAUGUCUGUCCGAUCCUUCACUUUCAGCACAAAGGUGUACAAGUUGUCGGGUAUCUCCAGGCUUGUGUAUCGCUGGACCUCCUGGAUGCUAGA